UACAGAGACCUCAAGCGUUAUCCGGAAUCAUUGGGCGUAAAGCGUACCGAUAGGUGGUUUUUACAAGUCAGAAGUGAAAUCUCUCAGCUUAACUGGGAGACUGUCUUUUUGAAACUGUAAAACUUGAAGGGCAAAGAGGAAGCUGGAACAAACGGUGUAGUAGUGAAAUGCGUUGAUAUCGUUUUUGGAACACCAAUAGCGUAGGCAGGCUUCUGGGUGCCACUUGACACUGCUAGGACGAAAGCGUGGGGAGCGAUAAGG
RNAcentral lists this ribosomal RNA (261 nucleotides) under uncultured bacterium. RNAcentral describes it as "partial 16S ribosomal RNA". It matches the Rfam family "Bacterial small subunit ribosomal RNA", at positions 524 to 776 of the family's 1533-position model. The record is from RNAcentral.